RNAcentral lists this ribosomal RNA (253 nucleotides) under uncultured bacterium. RNAcentral describes it as "partial 16S ribosomal RNA". It matches the Rfam family "Bacterial small subunit ribosomal RNA", at positions 524 to 776 of the family's 1533-position model. The record is from RNAcentral.
UACGUAGGCAGCGAGCGUUGUUCGGAAUUACUGGGCGUAAAGAGUGUGUAGGCGGUGCUCUAAGUUCGGAUUGUGAAAUUCUCCUGCUUAACUGGGAGGGUGCGCCGGAAACUGGAGUGCUUGAGCGUGGAGAGGAAGCGGAAUUCCUGGUGUAGCGGUGAAAUGCGUAGAUAUCAGGAGGAACACCUGUGGUGUAGACGGCUUUCUGGACCAUAGCUGACGCUGAGACACGAAAGCGUGGGUAGCGAAACAG